CCUACGGGAGGCAGCAGUGAGGAAUAUUGGUCAAUGGACGAGAGUCUGAACCAGCCAAGUAGCGUGAAGGAUGACUGCCCUAUGGGUUGUAAACUUCUUUUAUAUGGGAAUAAAAUGUUCCACGUGUGGGAUUUUGUAUGUACCAUAUGAAUAAGGAUCGGCUAACUCCGUGCCAGCAGCCGCGGUAAUACGGAGGAUCCGAGCGUUAUCCGGAUUUAUUGGGUUUAAAGGGAGCGUAGGUGGAUUGUUAAGUCAGUUGUGAAAGUUUGCGGCUCAACCGUAAAAUUGCAGUUGAAACUGGCAGUCUUGAGUACAGUAGAGGUGGGCGGAAUUCGUGGUGUAGCGGUGAAAUGCUUAGCUAUCACGAAGAACUCCGAUUGCGAAGGCAGUUCACUGGACUGCAACUGACACUGAGGCUCGAAAGUGUGGGUAUCAAACAGGAUUAGAUACCCGUGUAGUC
This 460-nucleotide ribosomal RNA is filed under the name uncultured bacterium. RNAcentral's name for it is "partial 16S ribosomal RNA". It matches the Rfam family "Bacterial small subunit ribosomal RNA", at positions 338 to 795 of the family's 1533-position model. The record is from RNAcentral.